Molecule: non-coding RNA, 45 nt
Filed under: Schistosoma margrebowiei
Lineage: Eukaryota; Metazoa; Platyhelminthes; Trematoda; Strigeidida; Schistosomatidae
Source: RNAcentral
CUCCAGCCGACUAGUCCCAAACUGGACGAAAUGCACGUCAUGGAU